Long non-coding RNA from Crocodylus porosus (Australian saltwater crocodile), 1867 nucleotides. The record is from Ensembl. Lineage: Eukaryota; Metazoa; Chordata; Crocodylia; Crocodylidae.
AUGAGGCUUUCCCCGGCCCCAGGGCGACACAAGCGCGGGCCGGGGCCGGGAUCACCGAGCGGGGCGGCAGCGCGAUUCGGCGCGGGGAAGGGGAGGGCCUCUCCCGCCCCGCGACGCCACCUCAGCAGCGCCCCCCCGGGCAGCUGCCCUGUAGAGCUCUACUGUGCGGCGGCGGCGGCGGCGCUGACCAAUAGGGAGCUGCGGCGGCGGCAGCCCUGGCCAAUGGCGCGGCGUGGAACGCGCCGGGGAGCUGAUGUCACUUCCGCCGCAGGCUGCCGGAGUCGGCGGCGGUGGGGAGCGGAGGGGUCGCGGCGCUGCCGCACNGCAGCGGAUGGGCUGCAAGAGACCUCGUCCAGCCCCCUGCUCAAGGGUCACGGAAUGGUAGAGAAGCAGGGCCAGAAGGCGCCCCCGGAGGUCAUCCCCUGAGGCAGGGCUGCGUCUAGCUAAACCCUCCCGUAUAACGCACAACCUAACCUCUUCCUAAUACUACCGUCAACCCUGAUGCAACAACGAGACCGAGCACCCUAACCUGCCGCAGGUAAAGCAGGGAGACUGGGGCAGCCAACAUCUGCUUUUAACCCAAAGUGUUGAUAUAUGCUGGAGGGAUGCCCAGGAGAGGGCUGGCCCCCGCCACUGAGGAAGGCAGAAUCCCCCACGGUCUGACCUGUCUGAGCACCGCAUAAGGUCCCGUCCUGACCCCAAGUGUGGUGAUCUGUCUCAUUCUGAUUGGAGGGGCAAGACCCUCCAGGAGCAACCUCCGGCUGCGGUCCUAGCAGGAGCAUUGGCACACCCAGUUGAAAUCUCCAGGGAUUUUCAUUCAUAGAUUGUAAGGCUGGAAGGGACUUCAGAAGAUCAUCGGGUCCAGCCCCCUGCACCAAGCAGGAAAGAUAACUAGGGGUCCGGUGACCCCAGCAAGGCGACUGUCCAGUCUCAUCCUGAAGAUUUCCAGGGUAAGCAAUUGCACCAUUGCACCACCUCUGUAGGGAACUUACUCCACAGUCUGGACUCCCUGACUGCGAAGAAGUUUAUUUCUGGGUCCAAUUUAUUGCUGCCCAGCCAUUGUGCAUAGUUGGUCAUGCCUCUGCAGUUUGUUUCUCCCACUAGAUUUCAGGGGACCUUGUGCUUCCACUGGGAAACCACUCUGUCCUCCUAAACUUACAUCCCUGUCAGUUCUUCAGAAAAAGAGAAACUUUGGCCAUUAGUUCAGUUACAUGGGAAGAUUCAACCUGCUUUAUUAAUACACAGAUAAAUAUCAUCACUGUUGGGGCCGAACUGCAGUCGAUUUAUCUAAAUUAAAUCUUUCUAUGUCUGGAAUUUCAGUAUUUCAAAAUGAAGUCUCCUAAGGCAGUUGGGGAGCUGAGAAGUUUUACUUGCAUGUAGUGAUUUAUAAUUAAUGUUCUGGGUGAAAUGAUGCUACCUUAUCAGAGGUUUAGAGUAAAUGUCUUGAGAUAUAUUUUCAGUAUCCAGUUUCCACGCACUCAGAGAAGACUGCCUCAUCCAACGUUCAUAAAUAUUGCAGAUCUAUUCUAUUCUAGACAUCUGGUUUGUUCAGAGUAAAAGGACCAAAAGACGCAUGUAAAAUAGGCAAACUUUAGCAUGUGUUGAAAUCUGUAGUGUUAUACAUAAUCGCGAACUAGGCACAGGUACAAGUAUGCUUUCAGGAUUAGGGCCUAGGAUACAUGAAUAUGCAUUUAUAAGUAGGAUUUCCUUCCUCCUCUAUAUUCAUGUUUCUCUGUGCCAUACUUCAUUGCUAUAUGCUUAUUUGCCUUUAAAUGUACAGCUCUUAAACUUAGUACAGUAUUGAAUUUUGGUUAACUAUGUCUUGACUAUUAAUAAAUAUAUAGUUUAAAGGUUAUAAAAGUGCCUU